AGACUGAAACUCAAAGGAAUUGACGGGGACCCGCACAAGCAGUGGAGUAUGUGGUUUAAUUCGAAGCAACGCGAAGAACCUUACCAGGUCUUGACAUCCAACUAACGAAGCAGAGAUGCAUCAGGUGCCCUUCGGGGAAAGUUGAGACAGGUGGUGCAUGGUUGUCGUCAGCUCGUGUCGUGAGAUGUUGGGUUAAGUCCCGCAACGAGCGCAACCCUUGACUUUAGUUGCCAGCAGGUAAGG
This 243-nucleotide ribosomal RNA is filed under the name Paenibacillus agri. RNAcentral's name for it is "Bacterial small subunit ribosomal RNA". It matches the Rfam family "Bacterial small subunit ribosomal RNA", at positions 891 to 1130 of the family's 1533-position model. Lineage: Bacteria; Bacillati; Bacillota; Bacilli; Caryophanales; Paenibacillaceae. The record is from Rfam by way of RNAcentral.